Molecule: long non-coding RNA, 325 nt
Filed under: Selaginella moellendorffii
Lineage: Eukaryota; Viridiplantae; Streptophyta; Lycopodiopsida; Selaginellales; Selaginellaceae
Description: long non-coding RNA (SMOE_LNC000563)
Source: RNAcentral
CACACUCGACUCCAUUCCCAGGAUUUGCGUGGUUUCCAGGAGCAUUCCCUCCACAUCCAAGCUCCAGCAAACCCGGGAGCGCUCCGCCAAAGCAUGGAUCGCCCUCCGCUCAAGCACCGCCACCUUUUCACGGAACCAAGAAGCAUCAUCACCAAUAAAAGCUCUGCAUUUAGAACUAUGGACAUCAAAGAAAAGCAAAGUUUUGGAGUUACCUUGUGACCGUUCCUCAAUUCCAGGCACUGAUUCUUUCUUCCUUCCACUUAGCGAAUCUACAAAUAAAUCCUCCUCUUUUUGUCCAAAUGUAAAAAAAACGGCGAUGCUGCUA